UAGCUCAGAUGGUAGAGCGACAGACUCUUAAUCUGUUGGUCGUGGGUUCGAUCCCCA
Molecule: transfer RNA, 57 nt
Filed under: Rhodomonas abbreviata
Lineage: Eukaryota; Cryptophyceae; Pyrenomonadales; Pyrenomonadaceae
Rfam family: tRNA
About the family: Transfer RNA (tRNA) molecules are approximately 80 nucleotides in length.
Source: RNAcentral